GACGAACCGUGCAAACGUUGUUCGGAAUCACUGGGCUUAAAGAGCGCGUAGGCGGGUAGCCAAGUCAGGGGUGAAAUCUUUCGGCUCAACCGGAAAACUGCCUUUGAUACUGGCUGUCUUGAGGGAGGUAGGGGCAUGUGGAACUUCCGGUGGAGCGGUGAAAUGCGUUGAUAUCGGAAGGAACGCCGGUGGCGAAAGCGACGUGCUGGAUCUCUUCUGACGCUGAGGCGCGAAAGCUAGGGGAGCGAACGGG
RNAcentral lists this ribosomal RNA (253 nucleotides) under uncultured bacterium. RNAcentral describes it as "partial 16S ribosomal RNA". It matches the Rfam family "Bacterial small subunit ribosomal RNA", at positions 524 to 776 of the family's 1533-position model. The record is from RNAcentral.